CGUUGCGCGGAAUCACUGGGCUUAAAGCGUGCGCAGGCGGACUCGUAAGUACCUUGUGAAAUCCCACGGCUCAACCGUGGAACUGCUCGGUAUACUGCGGGUCUUGAGGUCGGCAGGGGCCAUCGGAACAGUAGGUGGAGCGGUGAAAUGCGUAGAUAUCUACUGGAACGCCCAAGGCGAAGGCAGAUGGCUGGGCCGAACCUGACGCUCAGGCACGAAAGCGUGGGGAGCGAACGGGAUUAGAUACCCCGGUAGUCCACGCCCUAAACGUUGCGCACUAGAUCGUGGCGGCUCUGACGCCGUCAUGGUCGAAGCAAAAGUAUUAAGUGCGCCGCCUGGGGAGUACGGUCGCAAGGCUAAAACUCAAAGGAAUUGACGGGGGCUCACACAAGCGGUGGAGCAUGUGGCUUAAUUCGAAGCAACGCGAAGAACCUUAUCCAGGGUUUGACAUGCACGGAUGCCCUCGGUGAAAGCCGAGUAAGCUGCCCUUUGGGUGAAACGUGCACAGGUGCUGCAUGGCUGUCGUCAGCUCGUGCUGUGAAGUGUCGGGUUAAGUCCCUUAACGAGCGAAACCCCUAUCGUUAGUUGCUAACAGGUAAUGCUGAGGACUCUAACGAGACUGCCGGUGUCAAACCGGAGGAAGGUGGGGAUGACGUCAAGUCCUCAUGGCCUUUAUGUCCUGGGCUGCACACGUGCUACAAUGCGGCGUACAGAGCGAAGCGAUACCGUAAGGUGGAGCAAAUCGCAAAAAGCGUCGCUCAGUUCGGAUUGUGGUCUGCAACUCGACCACAUGAAGCUGGAAUCGC
This 806-nucleotide ribosomal RNA is filed under the name uncultured Planctomycetota bacterium. Its description in RNAcentral is "bacterial SSU rRNA". It matches the Rfam family "Bacterial small subunit ribosomal RNA", at positions 539 to 1335 of the family's 1533-position model. Lineage: Bacteria; Pseudomonadati; Planctomycetota. The record is from RNAcentral.